AUACGUAGGUGGCAAGCGUUAUCCGGAUUUACUGGGUGUAAAGGGCGUGUAGGCGGUUCUGCAAGUCGGGUGUGAAAUUUCCGGGCUUAACCCGGACGGGUCACCCGAAACUGCGGAACUUGAGUACUGGAGAGGAUAGUGGAAUUCCUAGUGUAGCGGUAAAAUGCGUAGAUAUUAGGAGGAACACCAGUGGCGAAGGCGGCUUUCUGGACUGAUACUGACACUGAGGCACG
Molecule: ribosomal RNA, 233 nt
Filed under: uncultured bacterium
Lineage: Bacteria
Description: partial 16S ribosomal RNA
Rfam family: Bacterial small subunit ribosomal RNA
Source: RNAcentral